This is a long non-coding RNA of Dromaius novaehollandiae (emu), 300 nucleotides long. RefSeq lists it as uncharacterized. The transcript has 3 exons. Lineage: Eukaryota; Metazoa; Chordata; Aves; Casuariiformes; Dromaiidae. The record is from RefSeq and is a predicted model, not a curated record.
CAGUCUGCAACUUUCCAGCAAUAUCUCCAAUCAGCUCCUGAGGACCAGAGGAGGAUUGCUAUGAGUGUCUCUGAACUGCAAGCAUGAGGUUCCCAGGGAGAGCAGACCCACCCUGCCUGGAAGGGCUGAGCUCUAGGAUAGCCGUGGGAUCUCUUUUGGGGCAGGACAAGCACUGUGUCUACGUCUCUGCCAACCCCUGUUGAACCAUCAUGCCCAAGAGGACAGCCAGUGAGAGCCUACAAGCACACCCCAGAGACAAGUACAGUAGGAGAAGCAAAGCUCGUCCUCACCUCGGUUGCC